This is a long non-coding RNA of Magnolia sinica, 1236 nucleotides long. RefSeq lists it as uncharacterized. The transcript is spliced from 3 exons. Lineage: Eukaryota; Viridiplantae; Streptophyta; Magnoliopsida; Magnoliales; Magnoliaceae. The record is from RefSeq and is a predicted model, not a curated record.
CAAGAACCAUUUCUUUCUUCAUUUUUUGUACAUAUCAUUCACUUUUAUUUCUCUGAUGAGAACUUGUGAUUGAUUUUAUUGCAUUGGCUGAGAGGAGUUGACUGUUUUGGUGUGAAGAUGCUGCAGGCUUAACGUUAUUUGAACAAUGAUCUACCGUUGGCUUAUAAUUGUAGUGAUAUUGCCUACUUUCAUGUUUGUUUCUUUCAAGUUACUCUUGUACCAGAACACUCUAUUUCUUUUCUCUACUGAUUCAGUAGGUGGAAUCUAUCUUUUUCUCCACCAUGUUGUUCUGCUGAGUUAAGUAAUUUGAAUUAAACUAUUAAUGAACUUUAACUCAUGAUGUUCACCUUUUCUGAAAAAUGACAUUUUUGUAUGUUGGGAUGGUAUCUUGUAUGAGGCUGUAGUUGCAAGUGCUAAAAGGAAGUGCUGGGAUAGUUUUCUGUGUGUUGAUCUUAAUGGACAUAGGGUAAUAGGGAAUUCGUCGAAGAGGGUAAAAAAUUUCUUUCCUCGAUAAAUUAUGCACAGAACGGUAGAAGUGGUGGGUGGCAGUUGAAGGGCAAUGGCAAAAUAAAAUUGAUUAUUUGGAGAUGAAUAUUCCAUUGUGGAAUUUAACAGGUAGACAGGAGGAUUUUAGUAAUAGGAUUAGUGAUUAAACAAAAGGUUGAUGUUUUCAUGAUGCAAGAAUAAAAAUUAAACAGGUGAUAUGGGAAUUCUUGAUGGCAGGUAAAAUAUUGCUAUCUGAUGGAAACAUUAGGAAAAAUGUGGAACUUUUCAGUGAAAACUUCAGGAUAUGUUAAAAAACAUGUUUACGCACUUUGAACAAAAUAUUACAAAAAGCAACUAUGUUUAUGAUAGGUUUUCAUUUUAUAGGGGCCUAAACCAUGCCGUCACACAAAAGCAAUGCAAUAUUUUAGUCAGGAACAUCAUUCAAAAGUUUUUUCUAAUUAUAGAUAACAAUGAUCCAUACAUGCAUGUAUACAUACAUAUCAUCCAUACAUAGAUCCAUCCAUCCAUCCAUAGAUAGAUACAUCCAUACACACACACACACAUCCAUGCAUACAUUCAUAUAUCUAUUCAUCCCUACAUACAUGCAUCUGUCCAUACAUACAUGCAUGAAUACAUACAUAUAUUCCAUACAUAGAUCCAUCCAUCCAUCCAUAGAUAGAUACAUUCAUACAUCCAUACAUACAUUUAUAUAUCUAUCCAUCCCUAUAUACAUGCAUCAUCAUCAUCAUC